Molecule: ribosomal RNA, 497 nt
Filed under: uncultured bacterium
Lineage: Bacteria
Description: partial 16S ribosomal RNA
Rfam family: Bacterial small subunit ribosomal RNA
Source: RNAcentral
GAUGAACGCUGGCGGCGUGCCUAAUACAUGCAAGUCGAGCGAACAGACGAGGAGCUUGCUCCUCUGACGUUAGCGGCGGACGGGUGAGUAACACGUGGAUAACCUACCUAUAAGACUGGGAUAACUUCGGGAAACCGGAGCUAAUACCGGAUAAUAUCUUGAACCGCAUGGUUCAAUAGUGAAAGACGGUUUUGCUGUCACUUAUAGAUGGAUCCGCGCCGCAUUAGCUAGUUGGUAAGGUAACGGCUUACCAAGGCAACGAUGCGUAGCCGACCUGAGAGGGUGAUCGGCCACACUGGAACUGAAACACGGUCCAGACUCCUACGGGAGGCAGCAGUAGGGAAUCUUCCGCAAUGGGCGAAAGCCUGACGGAGCAACGCCGCGUGAGUGAUGAAGGUCUUCGGAUCGUAAAACUCUGUUAUUAGGGAAGAACAUAUGUGUAAGUAACUGUGCACGUCUUGACGGUACCUAAUCAGAAAGCCACGGCUAACUACGUG